RNAcentral lists this ribosomal RNA (426 nucleotides) under uncultured bacterium. RNAcentral describes it as "bacterial SSU rRNA". It matches the Rfam family "Bacterial small subunit ribosomal RNA", at positions 354 to 796 of the family's 1533-position model. The record is from RNAcentral.
GUGAGGAAUUUUCCGCAAUGGGCGAAAGCCUGACGGAGCAAUGCCGCGUGAAGGAUGAAGGCCUAUGGGUUGUAAACUUCUUUUCUCAGAAAAGAAUUAUGACGGUAUCUGAGGAAUAAGCAUCGGCUAACUCUGUGCCAGCAGCCGCGGUAAGACAGAGGAUGCAAGCGUUAUCCGGAAUGAUUGGGCGUAAAGCGUCUGUAGGUUGUUUAAAAAGUAUUCUGUCAAAGAUUAGGGCUUAACCCUAGAUAGGCAGAAUAAACUUUUAGGCUAGAGUUUGGUAGAGGCAGAGGGAAUUCCCGGUGGAGCGGUGAAAUGCGUAGAUAUCGGGAGGAACACCAAAGGCGAAGGCACUCUGCUGGGCCAAUACUAACACUGAGAGACGAAAGCGAGGGGAGCAAAUGGGAUUAGAUACCCCUGUAGUCC